Pipistrellus kuhlii (Kuhl's pipistrelle) is the source of this 158-nucleotide long non-coding RNA. RefSeq lists it as uncharacterized. Lineage: Eukaryota; Metazoa; Chordata; Mammalia; Chiroptera; Vespertilionidae. The record is from RefSeq and is a predicted model, not a curated record. The transcript is spliced from 5 exons.
CUCCAAGUCAUAGUGCAAAUAAAUGAUGGGAUACUGUACAAUUUCUGUAGUGAAGCAACUGUGAGGGAAGAUGUUCUGCUCACUCUCACUCCAUGUUAGGAGCCUGCUGACAUCUGACCACUAAAUCUUAUUACUAAUAAAAUCUGUUGGUGAAGCAA